AUAUAAAAACUACAUAUUAAUAAAAUACAAACUAAUACGAAUCUAACAAGAUCCCACAUGACUAUGUUUUUAUUCACAUAUAAAUCACAAACGAGGGUCAAAGUGCAAUUUGUGAAUAGUGUAAAAUGUCAAAGUGUAACAAUUAAAAAGAAACGGAGGUAGUACAACUUAAAAGAGCAAUCCCUGAGUUAAGCAUAAAUACGAGCCCUAAGUUUUAGUAUUUUUCACUAAUUGGGGACUCUAAGUUUUUUUUUCACCCUUAGAGUACUAUGACCACUCUUACCCUAUAUUUUAAUUGGUUGGGGUUAAAAACUUAGUACCUUGAGUUAAAAACUUAAUACCUAGGGUUAUCAUUCCUUUGGUUGUUAUUUGCGUCUUGAAUUGAUCAAACUGCAAAUACAAGUUUCACUUUCUUUUAUCUCCUCUGUUCAAGAAGCUUCCCAAAGCUAAGGUCAGACUAUUGUUGAUCCAAACUCAGUUUUUGCUUCCAAUUUCGCACUCUUGCUGCUCCCAAUUUAGAUAUGGAUUUGGAUAUUGAUCCAUGUAUUGUUGUUCACCAUGGUGGUAAGUGGGUGUAUAACCCUAACAAAGUCAAAUAAGUGUUCUAAUGCACAACAGAGGUGUAGGUAUUUACACCUACCCAAAUGGCUACCAGAGACAAGCCAUGUACAAAAAUCAAAGUCAAACUCAAAUCAACAUGAACUCAAAUCUAACAUCAUCCAACCUUGAUUAGUGUUGCUCUUUUGCUCUUAUAUUGAUGCAUGGGGAUAGGAUGAUGCAAGCUAAUAGCUUUCUUGUUUGUUCAUAGUUGCAUGGAGUUGCAUGGUGUUUGUUGGGUCAUUUAUUAGCUUUCUCUUUUGUCAAGAUUUUAUUCCCAAAACGUUUAAGUUUUUGGUUGUUACAGUUAUAUUUAAUCAAGUUUUUGCUUUAGGGACUAAGUUUUUAUAAAAUAUAUUAAGUUUUAGAUCUGA
Molecule: long non-coding RNA, 971 nt
Organism: Beta vulgaris subsp. vulgaris (sugar beet)
Lineage: Eukaryota; Viridiplantae; Streptophyta; Magnoliopsida; Caryophyllales; Amaranthaceae
Exons: 4
Source: RefSeq, a predicted model, not a curated record